CCUACGGGAGGCAGCAGUGGGGAAUAUUGCACAAUGGGGGAAACCCUGAUGCAGCGACGCCGCGUGAGUGAAGAAGUAUUUCGGUAUGUAAAGCUCUAUCAGCAGGGAAGAAACCCACCCUCCGGGGUGGCUGACGGUACCUGACUAAGAAGCCCCGGCUAACUACGUGCCAGCAGCCGCGGUAAUACGUAGGGGGCAAGCGUUAUCCGGAUUGACUGGGUGUAAAGGGAGCGUAGGUGGCAAGGCCAGUCAGAUGUGAAAACCCGGGGCUCAACCCCGGGAGUGCAUUUGAAAAUGUCUGGCUAGAGUGCAGGAGAGGUAAGUGGAAUUCCUAGUGUAGCGGUGAAAUGCAUAGAUAUUAGGAGGAACACCAGUGGCGAAGGCGGCUUACUGGACUGUAACUGACACUGAGGCUCGAAAGCGUGGGGAGCAAACAGGAUUAGAUACCCCUGUAGUC
This 457-nucleotide ribosomal RNA is filed under the name uncultured bacterium. RNAcentral describes it as "partial 16S ribosomal RNA". It matches the Rfam family "Bacterial small subunit ribosomal RNA", at positions 338 to 795 of the family's 1533-position model. The record is from RNAcentral.